RNAcentral lists this long non-coding RNA (6225 nucleotides) under Podarcis lilfordi (Lilford's wall lizard). Lineage: Eukaryota; Metazoa; Chordata; Lepidosauria; Squamata; Lacertidae. The record is from RNAcentral.
GAGUAGGAGGGAGGGAUUUCUGAUGGGAUGGAAGAGUGGGGCAGCUUCAGGAUGUUCAGGACCUGCAUAAAAUGAAGUUUGGCACCACGUGUGGGUCACAGGUUGCAGAUUGCGUAUCUGUGAUCUAAAUUAUGCUUCUCACAAAUAGCUCUAAGCACUCAAAUGCAUAUGGUUUUAUCAUUAGGUCAAGAACCCUAGCAUAUCUUGAGGAGCAUUAGAGUUGGAAAGUGUAUGGCUAUUUAUAGGGCUUUUUUUCAGCCGGAACUCACUGGAACUCAGCACCUCUCAGGUGGGCGCCAUUGCCAUUUUAAGAGAACAAGGGAGGUGUUCGUGGUGAGUUCUGGCACCUCUUUCUCUAGAAAAAUAGCGCUGGAUGUUUAUAUGAGCACAGUGUGUGUAUUUGGUGAGCAAAUCCAUUGAAUCUGCUGGGUACAUUAAAAACUAACAAACACAACAACAAAAAACUCCUCAGUCAUAUUGGAUUAUAGUGUUUCUAUAUAUCAAUCUUGAAUAACACUGCAUACAAAUAAGAAAAUACUAAGUACCAAUGCAAGAAAAAAUAUAGUGAUAUGCAAACCAACCUUUCCCCCACUGCUUAAUUCUGGGAACUGGUUAACUCUGGGAACUGUAGAGAAAAACUUCCCAGAGUUCACAUCUAUACAAACAGCUUAGAAGAAGUAUUAGGAUUUUGCAUAAGCUACUGUUUUCAUGUACUCUCCUUCUCACAGUUGUCCACUAAUGGUAAGCCAACCCAUGGCUUAGUGUUAGCAUGUGGGCUUCCAGAAAUGAGAUCAUAGCUGCUUUGUUCCUCUUCUGGUCCUGCUGCUGUGAGCUUGCUCAUAGGCUUCAUGUGCUGCCGAAACCCAGGCUCAUAGUUUGUCUUGCUCCAGACAACUCAAGAGCUGUAACCAAGGUGGUUUUUUUUACUGGUUUGCAAUUCAUGAUUUAUCUGGACCAGACAAACCAGGAGUCCAGGUUUCGAUAAUACAUUAAGACAAACCAUAGCUUAGCUCAGAGCAGCUCAGCAGGACCAGGACCAGAGGGGAAGAAGAGUGGCUACAAUAUCCUCUUUGGGAACCCUCAUGCUUGUGUUUAGUGUGUGAACUGAACCAGUGUGCAUUACUGUGGGAAAGGUAGUAGGAAGAGAAAGUGGCAAAUGAGAAAAUUGGUUCUGAGCUGUGGGGCAAAAUUUGGGUUGGGGUAAGUUUGUAAUGGCUUGAUUAUUUUGAAAGUGGAAUGGAGGCAUCAAAAUUAAUUAUUUCAAUUUCUAGAAUAAUGUGAUGCUUUGUGAUAAAUGAAACCCAGUAAGGUAACCCUCCAUAUCUCCUUUGAUCUUCAUUUUAACCUGUAGGUUUUCUGUGUCCAAAUAAUUGAAUGUUGUUAGUGGGGGUUUUUCAUUUUUAAAUAAUUGUCAUGUUUAUUCAUUAUGUGGAUAAAAGUGUAACAGUAUGUUGCACAACACAACAGUGAAGAAAUAUACAUACACACAAGGCUUAAGUGUUUAACCUUGGUUAGGUUCUGGUUAAUGCUCAUGAUUCAGGAUCUACCCAAAUUAAGCAAUUGCUUUGUCUAGCAAAUAGUCCCAUAAGAAAAAUGAAUAGUAUUAAAUGAUUUCCCUCUGGUGACUGGAAGUAUAUCUUCCUACUGAUUCAGGUAAUUCUAAGAUUGUGCCUUCACUCUUUCAUGCUAGAAUGCUUUUCCAAUAAAAUAAAGUAGAAUGUAGAAUCUGCUACAUAAAUGUAAUAUUAACCUAGAUUUCUCUGAGGACCAUGAUAAAUGCUGGAGGUCCUGCCAAAGUCUAAAUGGGAAAGAAUAUUAAAAGAAUAUUAGUGUUAGAAUAGGAUGCAUGGGACUGUACAAAACCAAUAGGUGUUGAUUGGGAGUGGUACAAAUUCUAUAUUAGUUUACACUUCUAUUAAGAGAGGUUUGAAUGUAGUAGGUAAAUGAAUUCUAUAAAAUAUAACAUUUGGGAAAUAGCACUGAGAAACAGGGAACACAUUUUCUUCAUAUGCAAAAUAAUAGAUUUGAGAACAUGUGUAAAUGGUGUUGGUAGUGGUGUAUGUAUUUCUAGUGUGCUAUUUUUGAAAUCAUUGAAAUUUGGGUAAACAAUAAGAAUAGUAAUAAUAACAACAAGAAAAAUGGGUCAUGUAUUGUAAUGGGAAAGUAAUUCUACCUUUCUAGGACUUCCGUUGUUGAUGAGCUGAGGAAAUGCUCAUUUUUUUGUAGUCAUGGGAUAUUUGUAAAUCUACUGAGAUGCUUGUAUUAUUAAAAACACAAAUGACUGUAACUUUUUAUCACUUUACAUCAGGUUGAAAGUCCCUGUCAGUCUCACACGAGUAUGAAAGAUUACUCUAUAUAAAAUGUACUUUCUUUUAACUUCACUGUGGCUAAGUGGGAUGCUAGAAAUCCAUAGAUUGAUCUGUAUUCGUGCCUAGGGCUAAUAAUACAAUGCCUUCUUUUUGUAAUCUAAUACAUUUACUUUUUUGAGUAGCCUCUAAACUGAAAUCCCAGUAGCUUUUAUAAUGAAAAAUCUUUUGCUUCUGGCUUCCCUCCUCACAUCACUUCAAACCAUAAAAUGUGACAAUGAACAAACAAACAAAAAAAGCCUUUUGACUCCCAAAGGUUGUCCUUAGAAUUGUUUCUCCUUCCCUACCUCCAACUGUGCAAGAAACUUCAGAAUUGGUUACCCUACAUUUGUUUGUGUUGAGCUUGGAAAUACACAAACAUUUGUACAUAUUUCAUAAGUCACUUUGUACUACCUCAGUUGAUAUCUCUCACUGUGUAGGAAUGUAUUCUUUUUGCACAAACGUUUUAUUGUUUAGUCCUUCUAUGUGUUCUCUCUUGCUAAUGGUUAUGGACAAAGCUACAAAGUAACUGUUACAGGCAGUAAGGAGUUGAUAACCCAUUGGGAAAAACAGACAGUGCUGGUGCUGCUGACCAAGACAUCAUUUGUUUGCGCUAUCACGUAAACAAUGUCAGUAUUUCAGUGUAGCGAGCAUGUGUUUAUCAGGAUUUUCUAUUUUAUACUCCUGCUGUGAGGGGAUUUUUUUUUUUAACUUCAUAGUUUAUGAGCUGUCAUUUAGCAUCACAGAUGAUGCCUUUGCUUCAUAGCCAUUAAUAUAGUUUUAUCAAUAAUUUGCAAGGGUGUGAUUCUUUUCUGGCCAUUUGGCAAAUGAUAGAAAACAGAAAAGUAAUGACUGAAUAAAGUGUAAAUUUCAAAACAAGAAUAAUUAUUACUUUCAGAAUAAUCUGCUGGAUAAAACAAACAGUUGCCUUUAACUUCCUCAAUAACAGGCAAGAUUAACUAAGGAGAGACAGACAGACAGACAGACAGACAGAGAGUUUACUUACUGUAUAUUUUAUCAACUUGACUAGGGAGACCUUAAGGAGCCUCUUGCUUUUUGCUAGUCACUAGCCAAGCUAUUCUCUGCUACUUUCUGUAUUGGAAUGGAAAGGGCAUUAUUGUAUCAUUGACCUCUUAUCCUUUAAUCAUGACUUCUUCACAGGGGUGUCAAUUGUUGGAUAAAUGUGUCAGGUUCAACCUUAAGCAUAGUAGUAGAUUAAUAUAAAUGGAUGUCAGGAUCUCACACUGGUAGCAUCCUAUGCCACUCUUCUGUUAGACAUGUUUUGAACAAGGGAUGUCUUUUUUCAGUAAAACUAUAGCUCUUUAACUCUUGCCUCAGCUUGUAUCUGGGGCCAGUCCUUUUUAUUUUUUAACUUCUUUUUUGGCCUUGAUGGAAAUGACCACUACAUAUAUUUGUUAAAGAUUUCUGCUAGAAUGAUAAGCUAUCUAUUGGCAACUGCCCAACAUUCCUAUAAUUUUCCUGUACUUUCAUAAUGGUUCUAGGCUUGGAUAUAAUUUUUAUUCCAUGUCUUUUAAUCACAUUUUAAUGAAUGUUCAGUGUUAUGGGUAUCAUGUAUUUUUAUUGUUAUAUUCUUUUAAUUUUAAUAUUUUUAUAGUGAUUUUUAUUUUGAAAAGAUGCCCCAAGUGGUGUAUGAGCAGUAGAAGAGCUGAAUAGAAUUUUGUAUUUAUCAGUAAAUCAACCUUUUGUUGUGUCUCAUUCUUUAUGGUGAACGUUCACUCUGUGUGUGUGUGCGAGUGUGUGCAUGUUUUAAUUCAAAAUAAAAUUAAAAUAGCCAACAGCACUUAGAAUAUAUUAUCAGGAAAGUAUUGUCAAGAGGCAAUCUGUGUCUAACUGCUACUACAAAAGAUAAAGUCAUUUUUCACCUGCAUCCUAAAGAUAGUAGGUUUGGAUAAGGUUAUGUGUAAAAGCAGUGUGGAGUUGCAGAGAUGUUUAUAGUCUCUGCUGUUUUUAUUGUUUCUAAGGUGUGUGUUUUAACGCUUAACAGUUGAUUGACAUAUUUACAUUACUUGUUCCUAGUCCUUCUUCAAGAAAUUGAAGCAUCACAGUAUUACCUACUAGAAUAUUGUGCCUAUGAAAAUAAUUUCAAUGAUAGCUAAUAAAAAUACUAAAAGCUCAAUUGACUCAGGCAUCUAAUAAAGUCAAAGGAUUUAUUAAGGCCUCAAAUUGGCCAACCUUCUCUGAGAAUCUUUAGGUUUCCAGGAGCUUUGGGAUUUCACCCUUGUGCCUUUGAAAAUUAAAUAUUUAAUAUUGAUUUGUAUGUGCUUAUCAUGGACUGUACUUAUCAUUCAUUUGGGUUCUGUGUCAGAAUUCAUUGGGAAGAAAUGACUAACGUUGCUGGCCAAAAUAAACCUCUCACUUCCCUUUAACGCCAGGGAUUAUGAUGGCAUUACCAUUUCAGCAGUCUCCUAGCCCUGCUUGUGUUAGAAUUGCAGCUUGAUAUUGUGCAGAUUAAUCCAGGCAGAGUCCUGUUUUAUUAAUUUGCCAGCAGUGAUAUUCUUCUUGGUUGAACAAUUACUUUGAGUGACUUAAUGUGCAGGACUAUGAGGAAUUCUAAUAGGAGAAUAAUGCAGAUUAUUUCCCUCUUUUAAGAAAGAUUUCUGAAAUGCAUAUAUGCAAAGAUUUUAUUCUAUAGGAAAAAUAUAUUUAUUGUUUAGGAUAAGAAUAUAUUUUAUUAACCUACAUGUAAGCUUCAUAGUAUUUCAUUCCAAUCUAUGAUCAUUCCUUGCCCAGCAUGCUUCCUCUUUUUUGUGAUCAUUUGUAGAAAUAGCAUUGCAGAAGCUGCAGAAAAUGGAAGAGAACUUGAUGCAUGGAAGAAAGAAGGAAGGAAGGUGAAAAUUAUUUUGCAAAGAGCUUAUCUUGAAGUUUUAAGAGCCAUAGGUAUCUAAAGGGAACAAGGUAUAAGUGAUAUAAUGAAUAAGAUAAAGGACAAAUAGCAAUUGCAUAGCAUUUUUCAGCUGUUGCUUCUUCGGAAUAACUAUAGCACAGUGGUAAAAUAUCUUCUUUGUAUUCAGACUCUCCAGGUAGGGCUGCUGAAUAUUUCUGUUAGAACCCCUGGAGAGUCGUCCGGUCAGUGAAGACAAUACUGAGCCAUAUGCACUCUGACUGUAUAAGGCAGCUUCCUAUGUUCAAACCUCUUCUUUGUUCAAUGCUUUUGAACAAUUAGAGGAAUAAUUAUGAAAUGUUUAUGAAGAACCUCAUUUGGAUACUUGCUGCAGUUCUGCAAAAAGACUGAUGCUUGCAGAAAUGUCUGUUAUACUCUAAUUCUGUUGACUGACAAUAAUGGAGCUAGUUGGGUCAUAGCUAUCCAACAAUCUAGCCUGUGACUGAGCAGGGUACUCACAAUUCUUGAAAUCUCAGCAGCUGUUGAUACCAUCAACCAUUAUAACUUCCUCGAUCGGCUCUGUAGGAUAGGGAUGGAAGGCACUGUGUUACAAUGGUUCUACUCCUUAACUGCAAGACCAGUUCCAGAGAAUGGGGUAUGUGUGGCAACUUCUGCUUAGCCCCAUCACAUUUAGGCUGUGGAGGCCUUUAUGGUUUCGCCUUUCCCCCCAUGCUUUUUGACGUCUACAUGAAGCCAUUUGCAGCGGUCAUUAGUAGUUUGGGAGUGAGGUGUCAAUGUUGUAUGUAUGCUAAUAACACAGAACACAUGUCACUGGAAGUGGGUGAAGUCAUGGAGGUGCUGGAUCAGUGUCUGGAUGCCACUGUGCUCUAUGGUAUUCUAGUGUCCCCCUUUGGACUAUUGCAUUGUGGUCUCUGUGCCCUUGAAGAUGGUUUGAAAGCUGCAGCUGUGCAAAAUUCAGCCUUGAUAGUUCUAUUAGAUCUUUCUUUAAAAAGAAGAAAAAGUGAUUAUUUAACAUAC